UCCGUGCCAUUCGGAACUUUCUAGAGCGCGUUUGCAAAUGGAGCCUCGCGUAGUGGGGGCGCCGGGACCCCCAUCCCGAUCGGGCCAGAAUCUCCCCAGCUGCGGGACACCCAAGUCUCCAAGAUCAGCGGGACAGUGACAUCCUCUAGGAUGGACCCUGUGGGUGUGUCUCUAAGCACAGAUGUCAAUCUUGUGUCUGUAGUUCAUUCCCCAUCACCUCCUGUGGUUCUACAUCAGCCCCAGGUCAAGUAGAAGCAGCUCAGGAAGUCUCCAGUACAAUAAUUGGGUCAUGAAAGGAUGCCGGAACCAUAGUACCAGGGACCGAACACAGAACCUUUUGUGCCAGGCAAGCGGUGGCACCACUGAGCUAAGUCCCAGGCCCCUGAAAGGAUGCAUUUUUAAGAAGGAAGUUCAGUGCACACUUGGGACAGGAUUCCACAGGGCGUGAAUACUGGGGAGUGGGGGCCCCAGGCCUUCGCAGAUGCUGCCUCCCAGAGCUGUGGACAAAGGGCAGAUGGAAGUCGGGGACACUUGGCGGUGUGUAGCACUGUUUCUCCAGGCUUCCGCUUCUGGAUGCCCGGGCCGGAGAGUGCUUGAGAGGCUCCUGGUGUCCUAGGGGAGGCGUCCGUACAUGGAGAAGCCGAUGGCUUCCACUCUGAAGGUGAUUUUCGAUGUAAGGCGACCAGAUAAACCAUUGUCUUCCCCAAGUUGCCGGGCUCUGCUUACAAGUAGUACUUCUAUUUAUAAACCAAGAGAUGUGACAGCCACUUUCAGGGAGUUCUUUGAUGAAUGCUCAACCAACUCCGCUUUCAACAGCCUCACAUCCCACUUAGAAUCUUAAUUAAACUCCCUUAAAUGUUCUACUUUCACAAAUUUAAACUGUUUGAUUUUCUUUCGAAGCUCAGUAGAAAUAUUGAAGGAGCAAAACCUGCCCAAGCACUUACUGCUUUUAAUAAAUUAAACAUUAUCAAGAUUUUUUAAACAUUGCAAUGCCAUUUGCUCACUUAGAGGAAAACCUU
Long non-coding RNA from Fukomys damarensis (Damara mole-rat), 1019 nucleotides. RefSeq lists it as uncharacterized. NCBI's taxonomy places the organism in Eukaryota, Metazoa, Chordata, Mammalia, Rodentia, Bathyergidae. The record is from RefSeq and is a predicted model, not a curated record. The transcript is spliced from 5 exons.